RNAcentral lists this long non-coding RNA (1326 nucleotides) under Fragaria vesca (wild strawberry). RNAcentral's name for it is "long non-coding RNA (FVES_LNC004993)". The record is from RNAcentral. Lineage: Eukaryota; Viridiplantae; Streptophyta; Magnoliopsida; Rosales; Rosaceae.
GGGAGAGGGAGAGGAGGCGGAGACCGGGAGAGUGAGAGGGAGAGGGCGGCGACCGAACGACCGAGAGAGCGGAGGCGGAGGAGGAAUUCGGAGAGGGAGAGGAAAAGGAGACUAGGGUUUACAACCAGUCGAGCGCUGGGUUAUACCCGAACACUUUAGCCGACGAAAUAAUUAUUUCGUCGGCUAAAGAUAAUAAUCUCGUCGGCUAAGAUAAAAUUCGUCGGCUAAACCUUUGAAAUUCGUCUGCUAAACCUAUGAAAUUCGUCGGCUAAACACAAAAUUCGUCGGCUUUAUAACUUUUUAUACAUUCGUCAAAUUGUGACUGCUGCUCGUGAUGAUCAAACUUUAGAACGAAAAUCCGACCGUCAGAUCUGACCAUCAUGAUAAAAUACAUGUAUGGAAAAAAAUUCAACUUGAUCCGACGAGGUUAAGGGCUCGAUCCGGACGGUCAAUCCGUUAAGUCAAACCCCUAAACGCACGGAAAAUGUCAUUGGACUGUCUAAAUUACGUAUUUUGGCCGGACCUUCAACUGAAAAUAGUUUCAAACCGAUGAGACGCAACAAGUCCUAUAAAAAUUUUAUGCAAAAUAACCACCGAAGAUAGGGCUACCCAUAGGGAGAAAGAAUGGAAAAUUGUAUUGACCGCAACUAUCGGCACUGAGACAUGACCGGAAUACCGUGAUUUUUCAACCGUAGACGUAUUUCACCAUUAUGGUCAUGUCUUAUUUCACGACUUUUUUACGUUUGAAGGUUCUACGUAUAGUUUGUUUUUGAAACGGAACAUUUACUUAACACUUGGUAAACAAGUUAUACAACAUUAGUAAGCAUGUUGUGAUUGUGAUGAUCAAACUUGAGAAAAGGAAAUCCGACGGUCAGAUCUGACCAUCAUGAUAAAAUACAUGUAUGGGAAAAAAUUCAACUUGAUCUGACAAGGUGAAGUGCUCGAUCCGGACGGUCAAUCCCCUAAAUGCACGGAAAAGGUUGUUGGACCGUCUAAAUUUCGUAUUUUGGCCGGACCUUCAACUGAAAAUAUUUUCAAAUCGAUGAGACACAAUAAGUCGUAUAAAAAUUUUACGCAAAAUAACCACCGAAGAUAGGGCUAUAGUAUGUAACAGAAAAAGUUUAGGGUUUAGCCGACGAAUACCCUAAUAUAUUCGUCGGCUAUAGUAUGUAAUAAAAAAAUAUAAAAAUUAAUAAAGCCGACGAAAUAUUAGGGUAUUUCGUCGGCUAUAAGUUCUUUUAGCCGACGACUUCUAGUAUUCUUCGUCGGCUAAGACUGGUUUAGCCGACGACUUUUAAUAUAAUUCGUCGGCUAAGAUGGUUUAGG